RNAcentral lists this ribosomal RNA (396 nucleotides) under uncultured bacterium. RNAcentral describes it as "bacterial SSU rRNA". It matches the Rfam family "Bacterial small subunit ribosomal RNA", at positions 29 to 407 of the family's 1533-position model. The record is from RNAcentral.
AAUGAACGCUGGCGGCGUGCUUAACACAUGCAAGUCGAACGAGAAAUCCUGUCUUCGGACGGGAGAGUAAAGUGGCGCACGGGUGAGUAACGCGUGGACAAUCUACCUUUUUGUUCGGGAUAACAUUGCGAAAGCGGUGCUAAUACCGGAUACGAUGUUUUUAACUUAGGUUUUAAACAUGAAAGGGUGCCUCUUCCUGAAAGCAUCUGCAAAGAGAUGAGUCCGCGUCCCAUUAGCUCGCAGGUGGGGUAACGGCCUACCUGGGCGACGAUGGGUAGCUGGUCUGAGAGGAUGAUCAGCCACACCGGAACUGGAACACGGUCCGGACUCCUACGGGAGGCAGCAGUGAGGAGUUUUGGACAAUGGGGAACCUGAUCCAGCCAUGCCGCGUGAGAU